UCAAAGCCUACUUUCAGGUUUUUCCACCGGGAGUUGGUACCUCCCGCUCUCUUGUUUACUUUAUACACCUUUUUACGUAUUUUAGCUAGCAUUCCGUGUGAGGUUUACUCUGUUGCUAUCUAGUUUGCAUCUUUUUUUCUCUUGUUUACUUUGUACACUUUUUAAUGUAUUUUAGCUAGCAUUCUGUGUGAGGUUUACUUUGUUGCUAUCUAGUUUGCAUCUUUUUGCGUAUUCCGCUAGAGUGCGCGUGUGCGUCACUAUUCUCCAUAGUCGGUUGGAGGGAUAGUGGCCGCGGCGGGGGAUGAUAGCGUAAGGUC
Molecule: long non-coding RNA, 317 nt
Filed under: Nicotiana benthamiana
Lineage: Eukaryota; Viridiplantae; Streptophyta; Magnoliopsida; Solanales; Solanaceae
Description: long non-coding RNA (NBEN_LNC027925)
Source: RNAcentral